CAGUCCCUUGGCUCCAGCCCCACCCUCUCUUCCCGUCUGGGCCAUGAUUUUACCAGCUGCAUAAUAUGGCCACGUCAUGGUCACUACUGAGUGCUGAAAACUCAAGUCAAUGGCUUUGCAGCUUCUGGGAUUGGUUCUUUGGCUCUGCUUGAUGUCAGAUAAGAAAUGGCUUUCAGGGGACAGUUAGAUAAGGCCUCAGGACACAGAGCAGCAGGGCUGCCUGGCCUAGGGACUCUUCAAAAGCUAUCAGAGACCAACUGGUACGCCUCACGUCCAGGAGCGGGGAUGGAGGGUCUGCCUCUCACUCAACAGGAAAUUCAUUGAGCACAGCCUGCUCCCUCUGAGCCUGGGCACAGAGAUGGAAGAAGAAGAAGAAGAAGAAGAAGAAGAAGAAGAAGGAGGAGGAGGAGGAGGAGGAGGAGGAGAAGAAGAUUGGCCAUUUUGCUACAGAAGGGUUGAUAUCUUCUUCAAGGUCAUGUUAAAUCCUGACGUAACACUAUAGAAGAAGAGCAUUCCAUAGAGGAGAAGAGGCCUGUUGAGCAUCCAUCGGCAUCACCUACGCGGACCUACACCAGCCACCCUGUUUCCUGUUUGUGAA
Marmota monax (woodchuck) is the source of this 598-nucleotide long non-coding RNA. RefSeq lists it as uncharacterized. The transcript has 3 exons. Lineage: Eukaryota; Metazoa; Chordata; Mammalia; Rodentia; Sciuridae. The record is from RefSeq and is a predicted model, not a curated record.